GACGAACGCUGGCGGCGUGCCUAAUACAUGCAAGUUGAGCGCUGAAGGUUGGUACUUGUCCCAACUGGAUGAGCAGCGAACGGGUGAGUAACGCGUGGGGAAUCUGCCUUUGAGCGGGGGACAACAUUUGGAAACGAAUGCCAAUACCGCAUAAAAACUUUAAACACAAGUUUUAAGUUUGAAAGAUGCAAUUGCAUCACUCAAAGAUGAUCCCGCGUUGUAUUAGCUAGUUGGUGAGGUAAAGGCUCACCAAGGCGAUGAUACAUAGCCGACCUGAGAGGGUGAUCGGCCACAUUGGGACUGAGACACGGCCCAAACUCCUACGGGAGGCAGCAGUAGGGAAUCUUCGGCAAUGGACGAAAGUCUGACCGAGCAACGCCGCGUGAGUGAAGAAGGGUGUCGGAUCGUAAAACUCUGUUGGUAGAGAAGAACGUUGGUGAGAGUGGAAAGCUCAUCAAGUGACGGUAACUACCCAGAAAGGGACGGCUAACUACGUG
This 497-nucleotide ribosomal RNA is filed under the name uncultured bacterium. RNAcentral describes it as "partial 16S ribosomal RNA". It matches the Rfam family "Bacterial small subunit ribosomal RNA", at positions 28 to 507 of the family's 1533-position model. The record is from RNAcentral.